This 382-nucleotide ribosomal RNA is filed under the name uncultured bacterium. RNAcentral's name for it is "bacterial SSU rRNA". It matches the Rfam family "Bacterial small subunit ribosomal RNA", at positions 29 to 396 of the family's 1533-position model. The record is from RNAcentral.
AACGAACGCUGGCGGCGUGCCUAACACAUGCAAGUCGAGCGAGAAAAGGGGGCAACUCCCUGAGUAAAGCGGCGAACGGGUGAGUAACACGUAGGUGAUCUACCCUCGAGUCCAGGAUAACCUACCGAAAGGUGGGCUAAUACCGGAUAUGACCACGGGAGUUACGGCUCCUGCGGUGAAAGGUGGCCUCUGCUUGCAAGCUACCGCUCAAGGAUGAGCCUGCGCGCCAUAGCUAGUUGGUGGGGUAACGGCCCACCAAGGCGAUGAUGGCUAGCUGGUCUGAGAGGAUGGCCAGCCACACUGGGACUGGAACACGGCCCAGACUCCUACGGGAGGCAGCAGCGGGGAUAUUGCACAAUGGCGAAAGCCUGAUGCAGCAACG